Molecule: ribosomal RNA, 309 nt
Filed under: uncultured bacterium
Lineage: Bacteria
Description: bacterial SSU rRNA
Rfam family: Bacterial small subunit ribosomal RNA
Source: RNAcentral
GACGAACGCUGGCGGCGCGCCUAACACAUGCAAGUCGAACGGAGCUUUGAGAGCUUGCUUUUAAAGCUUAGUGGCGAACGGGUGAGUAACGCGUGAGUAACCUGCCCUGGAGUGGGGGACAACAGUUGGAACGACUGCUAAUACCGCAUAAGCCCACGGCCCGGCAUCGGGCUGAGGGAAAGGAUUUAUUCGCUUCAGGAUGGACUCGCGUCCAAUUAGCUAGUUGGUGAGGUAACGGCCCACCAAGGCGACGAUGCGUAGCCGACCUGAGAGGGUGACCGGCCACACUGGGACUGAGACACGGCCCAG